Molecule: long non-coding RNA, 1787 nt
Organism: Gadus macrocephalus (Pacific cod)
Lineage: Eukaryota; Metazoa; Chordata; Actinopteri; Gadiformes; Gadidae
Exons: 3
Source: RefSeq, a predicted model, not a curated record
AUACUCCGGACCUCGACCCGGAGCAGAGGACAGACCUAAGGCCUGCAGUCCAGCGGUCUAGGGACUCCAUGUGGAACUGGUUCAAUAAAGUUGACCUCUCCUUCAGGCGACUUAAAGGGAGACCAGAUGUGCGGCAGCUGGGUGUCAUGGUGCAGAGACCCAACGCUGCACUGAACUACACCAGUGUGUCCUACUCCCCAUAAACCCUGAGGAUCCCUGGCUACACAUCACAUUAAUCCACACCCAACAUUAACACACAUUGCACACUCUAUAGAGCGUGUAAGUCCGCCCCUUGCGGUGGGACCUCGUGAGAUAUGACUGGGUUUCAAUGGAGAGAAAGUAAUUAUUUUCUCAAUUAUGUUGCACCACAUUUUGGGGGAAGAAUGUUUGAAUCAGUCUUUGUCAUUUAUUUCUGUACUCCACAUCUGUAAUCCCAGCUGUUGUAUUUUAACACGGUAGCUGGGAACCCUCUUUAUAGGGAGCGGCUAGAGGGACGAGGCUGGAAGCAAACCUGAGCCUGGAUCUUAACCUUCUUUCUAAACCUAAUGCCGCAAUUUAACCGCAAAUAAAGUGAGGCCUAAAGUAACUUGACUCUCUUACCUAAACUUGCCUGCUAAACUCGCUUGUCUAAACUCGCUUGCAUAAAACCUAAACUUGCUUGCAUAAAACCUGAACUUGCUUGGCUAAACUCGCGUCGCUUGCCUAAUACCUAAACCCGCUUGCCUAAACUCGCUUGCCUAAUGCCUAAACCCGCUUGCCUAAACCCGCUUGCCUAAACCCGCUUGCCUAAACCCGCUUGCCUAAACCCGCUUGCCUAAUACCUGAAGUCGCUUGCCUGAAGUCGCCUGCCUAAUACCUGAAGUCGCUUGCCUAAACCCGCUUGCCUAAUACCUGAAGUCACUUGCAUAAAACCUAAACUCGCUUAGCUUGACUCGCUUGCCUGUACUCGCUUCGCUAAACUCGCUUGCAUAAAACCUAAACUCGCUUAGCUUGCCUGUACUCGCUUGGCUAAACUCGCUUGCCUAAUACCUGAAGUCGCUUGCCUGAAGUCGCAUGCCUAAUACCUGAAGUCGCUUGCCUAAACUCGGUUGCCUAAAACCUAAACUUGCUUGUCCAAACACGUUACACAAAGUUAACCAUCCAUAAUCUUUAACCCAAACCAGACUUGUCCCUGGGUCGCUCCACUUUAAUUUAGAAGUUUCUUCUUUUACCUCAUCUGCGUUUUGAGUUUCAUUCUUUGAGGGCUUGAAGUGCUUUGGAGGAUAUUUGAACCUUUGUUUGCCGCAUCAAUAAACAUGCUUUAUCUUUACCCAUUUUGUUUUGGAUUGCAUUUCUAUGUGUAAUCCGGCCAAAUGUUCAGUGUCCUUGCAUUUAAUGUCUAUGGUCUGACGAUAAUCUGACCUCUUCAUGAAGCAGAAUGUGUGUGAAUGUUGUCCCGUGAGCUCCAGGGUCUCUGUGGGCCUGUCGACGUCUCUUUAGCAAAAAAUUGAAAAUCAUUUUUGUGCCAUUUUCAUGUGUUCCUGAGUAUUUCAGACCUGUGGUGUUUCACAUGAGACCUUAAUGGGAACUUUUAUUUUUCUGCCUGCAUACGUAAUGCCUACAUUAGUAGGGUGAUCACACAAUAUUGAUCAUUAACCACCUCAUUCUUAUGAUUUUUUUCGAUAAGGAUUACAAAUCAUGUAAUUUAUGAGCAUAUUUGCAAAUGGCUCCAAAUAUCAGAUUGUGUAAAAACUAAUGAAAUGUAACCUGCUUGAUUUAAAGAAAAUAAAACAUCCAAAUAUUAUAAA